Molecule: long non-coding RNA, 414 nt
Organism: Ooceraea biroi (clonal raider ant)
Lineage: Eukaryota; Metazoa; Arthropoda; Insecta; Hymenoptera; Formicidae
Source: RefSeq, a predicted model, not a curated record
CGUGCACCACGUAGAACACGUGUUGAAGUUGAAUGAGUAUCGUGGGUGUUGCGAGAACGUGUUUGAAAAAGGUCAAGCUAAUGCGGUACACGGUUUGUACAGGUUGACGUUUUAUCCAUAAGAGAUUAUAAACGGCAAAUGAUCUAUUUCUGUCAAUUUUUGCGAUUUCCAAUCGCGAUAGCGCAAGUGACAAAUAAUUAGGCUAAUUAUUUUUACUUCUCUGCGUACCUUUGCUUCGAAAAUCAAACUCCUCGUUUCAAUCUUUGCUCAGCCCUGAACCCUCCUGGAGGAAUAUGUUAUUUAAGGUUGUCAACGUCAUUUUACAGGAUGCAAGUAACAUUUUUAAUUUAUUAAAUCUAUUGCUGUUUGUCGUGUAAACACAUCCUUCAAAAUAAAAAUACAAACCAUCUCCUA